GGCAGAGAGAGCCCGACCUCCGUGACCCACGGUGCGUUCUGCGCGUCCGUGGGACAUGAGGAAAGUCCCCCCACCGUCCGAACAGGUGACCGGGCGCAAGCCCGGAGUCGGAGACGGCUGGCUCUGGAACAGAAACGAGACCCCUCGGUCCGACCGAUGAUGUGCGCGAACCCGACCGUAAGGAAGGGAAGUUGACCCACAGAGGAGAGACGACCGAGAACGGAUGGAACGGCGAAACCUCACCGGUGCAAGUCCGCGCCACGCGGCCGAUGCGGCGCGAUUCGUGCGUCGCCCGGCCGCACGGUAGUUCGGACGACGGACGCGGACGCUCAGCCGAAUGUCGGGACGAACAGAAGGGGGCUUACUCCUCUCAGCC
RNAcentral lists this RNase P RNA (376 nucleotides) under Haloprofundus marisrubri. RNAcentral describes it as "archaeal RNase P". It matches the Rfam family "Archaeal RNase P". From Rfam's summary of the family: Ribonuclease P (RNase P) is a ubiquitous endoribonuclease, found in archaea, bacteria and eukarya as well as chloroplasts and mitochondria. Its best characterised activity is the generation of mature 5'-ends of tRNAs by cleaving the 5'-leader elements of precursor-tRNAs. Lineage: Archaea; Methanobacteriati; Methanobacteriota; Halobacteria; Halobacteriales; Haloferacaceae. The record is from RNAcentral.